CCCAGACUCCUACGGGAGGCAGCAGUGGGGGAUAUUGCACAAUGGGGGGAACCCUGAUGCAGCGACGCCGCGUGGGUGAAGGAGCGUUUCGGCGCGUAAAGCCCUCUCGGCAGGGAAGAAGGAGGACGGUACCUGACUAAGAAGCCCCGGCUAACUACGUGCCAGCAGCCGCGGUAAUACGUAGGGGGCAAGCGUUAUCCGGAUUUACUGGGUGUAAAGGGGGCGCAGACGGCGAUGCAAGCCAGGAGUGAAAGCCCGGGGCCCAACCCCGGGACUGCUCUUGGAACUGCGUGGCUGGAGUGCAGGAGGGGCAGGCGGAAUUCCUGGUGUAGCGGUGAAAUGCGUAGAUAUUAGGAGGAACACCAGUGGCGAAGGCGGCCUGCUGGGCUUUAACUGACGCUGAGGCUCGAAAGCGUGGGGAGCAAACAGGAUUAGAUACCCUGGUAAAA
Molecule: ribosomal RNA, 449 nt
Filed under: uncultured bacterium
Lineage: Bacteria
Description: partial 16S ribosomal RNA
Rfam family: Bacterial small subunit ribosomal RNA
Source: RNAcentral